CAGAAAAUUCAAAAUGGCUGCACGCGGUAGGUGAGGCCCGAGCGAAGAAAAGUGGAAAAGAGUGUUAUUCGUCAAAAAACCCACACAACGACGGUCAUUUUUUCGCCGUGCUAUUGUAAAAUUGUCUUUUAUCUGUGUUUUGUGUUCCGGGGGACCCCGACUCCAGAAUGUGAAAGUUUCCCGCGUGAAGCCGUGGAGCUCGAGAUCCUGUUUACUGUGGACUAGCUGUGUGUGACGCCAUGUUGUUUUUGUUUACAUUAAAAAAAAAAGCUCCACCGUCUCGCCGAGUGCCAGCAAGAGUCAUGAGUACUUGUCAACUCGACUCCUCAACUGGAGAUAACUUUCUAG
Entelurus aequoreus (snake pipefish) is the source of this 348-nucleotide long non-coding RNA. RefSeq lists it as uncharacterized. Lineage: Eukaryota; Metazoa; Chordata; Actinopteri; Syngnathiformes; Syngnathidae. The record is from RefSeq and is a predicted model, not a curated record. The transcript has 3 exons.